Suricata suricatta (meerkat) is the source of this 825-nucleotide long non-coding RNA. RefSeq lists it as uncharacterized. The record is from RefSeq and is a predicted model, not a curated record. Lineage: Eukaryota; Metazoa; Chordata; Mammalia; Carnivora; Herpestidae. The transcript is spliced from 7 exons.
AGAGGGUCGCCGUCGGCCCUACUUGGCUCCUCUGGCCCAGACCAUUCUAGACGUGACCCUCAAUCCGGCGACUCAAAAAACCAAAAACCGACGUCACAGGGCUGAGAGCUUCCAUUCAACUGCUGCCAGUGACGUCGGAGCCGCCCUCCUACGCCGGGGCUACGGAGCCAAUGAGGCUGAGGUGAAGGGGAGCCAAGACGAGGGACUGGAAUUUAUAAUCAAACCAGAAGUGACUGGAGCCAAGUUGAGACCUGCUCAAUAGAUGGCAGUUGGAGAUUUAAAAACCAGCACACCCGGCACAGGCCACUGAGCACUAACUGGGGAGUUUCCCUCCCAUGACAGAGGAGAGUGGGAUGCUAUAAACCCAAGCUGACACUAUCAUCCAAAGGCCUCCAGCAGUUUCUAGAGAUUCCCAGCUGAGGGAGUCAGUGACCUAAUUCUGCUCAGUUCUAAUGUAACACCGGAGUGAAUUCAGAAUAUCUUGGUAUUGGUCUUACUGGGAUUGCAGAACCCCAAAAUUGGUCUCCUGAUGCAGAGUCUCCACAACUUCAAAGAAUGCUUGUAAACAACUAGGCCUAAGGUGAAAUAAAUCCUACACGUGUGAAAGCUUUUUGAAAAGAAUGGAACUCUAUGUAAACUCAAGAUCACAAAUGCUACCAGAAUCAAACAGGCCACAAGUUUGCUAACCUGAAGGUGAAUCCACUGUAAGAAUUCCUGCAGAGUCUUGGGUUUUUCCUUUCCACUCCUUCGGUGUGCCUUUAUUUUCUUGGGGGCUGCUUCCUCUUCUGAGAUGACAUCCACAUAAAUAAAUUUGAAGUUUCCCAC